Molecule: ribosomal RNA, 452 nt
Filed under: uncultured bacterium
Lineage: Bacteria
Description: SSU rRNA
Rfam family: Bacterial small subunit ribosomal RNA
Source: RNAcentral
AGAACGAACGCUGGCGGCAUGCCUAACACAUGCAAGUCGAACGCUCGGGGUUUCGGCCCCGGGAGUGGCGCACGGGUGAGUAACGCGUGGGAACCUGCCCAGGAGUGGGGGAUAACCGAGGGAAACUUCGGCUAAUACCGCAUACGACCUGAGGGUGAAAGAUUUAUCGCUCUUGGAGGGGCCCGCGUCGGAUUAGGUAGUUGGUGGGAUAACGGCCUACCAAGCCUGUGAUCCGUAGCUGGUCUGAGAGGAUGAUCAGCCACACUGGGACUGAGACACGGCCCAGACUCCUACGGGAGGCAGCAGUGGGGAAUAUUGGACAAUGGGCGCAAGCCUGAUCCAGCAAUGCCGCGUGGGUGAUGAAGGCCUUAGGGUUGUAAAGCCCUUUCGGCGGGGACGAUGAUGACGGUACCCGCAGAAGAAGCCCCGGCUAACUUCGUGCCAGCAGCCGC